CCAGGUUACAACAGCUAGGGUGUGAAAUCGACAAGAUUCCAACAUUUCAUGCGAUCAAGAGGUAUUUGACGCUUCAAAACUGCUAAGUGAGGCAUAAAGCCCAAAAUGGACCAGAGCACCCCGGUCAGCAACAGAAUUAGAAAAAUCCUCUCCUAAGAAGAUUGCUAAGUUUGAUCAUAUGUUUUAAGAUAUUAAAACACUGUCUUGUUUUUCUUAACUACAUGUAUUUUGCUUAAUAAUUGUCAUUGACUGCAGGGUAGAGUGAGUAAUAUAAUGUCAGUUAACAAGAUUGUAUAGAAUGGGGACAUUCAAGCCUGUGGAGUAGAUAUUACUUUCACAAACCUGCAAUAAUCUAAAAUAUAAUACCAUUAA
Long non-coding RNA from Exaiptasia diaphana, 372 nucleotides. RefSeq lists it as uncharacterized. NCBI's taxonomy places the organism in Eukaryota, Metazoa, Cnidaria, Anthozoa, Actiniaria, Aiptasiidae. The transcript has 3 exons. The record is from RefSeq and is a predicted model, not a curated record.